AGUUCAGGAAGCCGGAUCCCAAUAUUACCAUUCUCUGAGGGAUCCUUCUGUGUGUUUUACCUCGCCUGUGGGACUCCAGAGCUACUCUGGGAGCUCUGAAAUAGAGGAUUAGGUUCCAAUGUGUGUGAGCAGAAAGAUCUUCAAAUGUCUAGGCUUCAAAUGCUCAAUCACUGCUUUAUUGGACAGUGCUAUGUAUGGAGGUUUUGUUUUGUUUUAAAAGAAUACCACUACAACUGUAUAAAGACAGCAAACUUUCUGUAAGUUUCCAGUGUGUAUGUAUCCCAUCUAUAAGGACUUUAAUAUGGAUAUGAUAAUGACAACCAUUAUUUUACUAACAUUUCCCCAAAUGGGCAAAACUGAGGCGACAUGUGCCACACUGGUUCUGCCAUACUGGCCUUCGGCUGUGUUGGAGAAGUACUGAUAUAAAAACUGAUAUAACUCAUUCAGUUACAUUAAAAGUGCCCAUAAAAUAGAGAAGGCAGCAAGUGAAAACAGAACAAAGGUUGGAGCUGUGUGAAGCAGAGUUUAAAGAAGUUACCUUUUAAAAUUCUUUUCUCAAAUGAAUUGAGAAUGGGAGGAAGGUGCAGGGACAUCUGGAUUUGGGCCCUCCAUUGCCAUCCUGACAUGAAACAGAUUUGGAUUGUUCUUGGAGUCAGCAAAAGGGCGGGUCCACCCCAAGUAAGAAUCAGUUCUCCAAAUAUAAGAUGAUGCAAAACAAAACCACAAAUUAAAUACACAACACUGAAAUCACCGAGAAAAAUGCAAAGAUAUUUAAAAAUAUAAAUAAAUAUAUUUAGCCAUUUUAUUAAACCCAGAGAACUGCUUUCAACCACUUUCUAUAUUCUGUCAUAAAUACUAUUUUGAUUGUCACUUAAUGCAGCACCUCAGUGUUUGCUGGUGGUGGUGAUAGAAUUUCACUUAAUAGUCUCAGAAACUAUGUAACGAUUCCUAUUUCACUAAAGAACAUUUCCCUGGGAAAACCCAGGCAGCUUACAAAACAUUGUUAAAUACUCAAA
Heterocephalus glaber (naked mole-rat) is the source of this 1016-nucleotide long non-coding RNA. NCBI's taxonomy places the organism in Eukaryota, Metazoa, Chordata, Mammalia, Rodentia, Bathyergidae. The record is from Ensembl.